This 307-nucleotide long non-coding RNA is filed under the name Elaeis guineensis (African oil palm). RNAcentral describes it as "long non-coding RNA (EGUI_LNC024124)". Lineage: Eukaryota; Viridiplantae; Streptophyta; Magnoliopsida; Arecales; Arecaceae. The record is from RNAcentral.
AGGAUCUAAUUAGUUAUUCUUCAUGAGUGGCAUUGUGUAACUGCGACGAUUUUGUGCCUCCGACAUCUAGUACUUCUCAUCUUCAUGCGAGAGGCAGUGUGUGCUAGCAAUGAGCUUGUGCCUAUGGCAUUUUGCACUCUUGAUGAUAUUUUGAGGGUCUGAUUAGUUAUCCUCCCAGAGAUUUUCUAAGGAUCUUCCUCCGCUUCUCAUGCAACUCGGACUUUACUGGGGUCUGAUAAGUUAGUUCGACCUCAGAGUCAUCGAGGUCUUCUCGAGGGUCUGAUAAGCUAGCCCUCUGGAGAUUCCC